GGCCUGCUAGCUCAUCGGUUAGAGCGUCGUGCUAACAACGCGAAGGUCGUAGGUUCAAUCCCUGCGCAGGCUA
Molecule: transfer RNA, 73 nt
Filed under: Dermacentor andersoni
Lineage: Eukaryota; Metazoa; Arthropoda; Arachnida; Ixodida; Ixodidae
Description: transfer RNA valine (anticodon AAC)
Rfam family: tRNA
About the family: Transfer RNA (tRNA) molecules are approximately 80 nucleotides in length. Their secondary structure includes four short double-helical elements and three loops (D, anti-codon, and T loops).
Source: RNAcentral